This 550-nucleotide ribosomal RNA is filed under the name uncultured bacterium. Its description in RNAcentral is "partial 16S ribosomal RNA". It matches the Rfam family "Bacterial small subunit ribosomal RNA", at positions 355 to 899 of the family's 1533-position model. The record is from RNAcentral.
UGGGGAAUAUUGCACAAUGAGCGAAAGCCUGAUCCAGCAAUGCCGCGUGUGUGAAGAAGGCCUUCGGGUUGUAAAGCACUUUUGUCCGGAAAGAAAUCCUUGGCUCUAAUACAGUCGGGGAUGACGGUACCGGAAGAAUAAGCACCGGCUAACUACGUGCCAGCAGCCGCGGUAAUACGUAGGGUGCAAGCGUUAAUCGGAAUUACUGGGCGUAAAGCGUGCGCAGGCGGUUUGCUAAGACCGAUGUGAAAUCCCCGGGCUCAACCUGGGAACUGCAUUGGUGACUGGCAGGCUAGAGUAUGGCAGAGGGGGGUAGAAUUCCACGUGUAGCAGUGAAAUGCGUAGAGAUGUGGAGGAAUACCGAUGGCGAAGGCAGCCCCCUGGGCCAAUACUGACGCUCAUGCACGAAAGCGUGGGGAGCAAACAGGAUUAGAUACCCUGGUAGUCCACGCCCUAAACGAUGUCAACUAGUUGUUGGGGAUUCAUUUCCUUAGUAACGUAGCUAACGCGUGAAGUUGACCGCCUGGGGAGUACGGUCGCAAGAUUAAAA